RNAcentral lists this ribosomal RNA (253 nucleotides) under uncultured bacterium. RNAcentral describes it as "partial 16S ribosomal RNA". It matches the Rfam family "Bacterial small subunit ribosomal RNA", at positions 524 to 776 of the family's 1533-position model. The record is from RNAcentral.
GACAGAGGGUGCAAACGUUGUUCGGAUUUACUGGGCGUAAAGCGCGCGUAGGCGGCUUCGCAAGUUGGAUGUGAAAUCCCACGGCUCAACCGUGGACGUGCAUCCAAAACUGCGUCGCUGGAGUCUCGGAGAGGAAGGUGGAAUGCUUGGUGUAGAGGUGAAAUUCGUAGAUAUCAAGCAGAACACCUGCGGCGAAGACGGGUUGCUGGGCCAACACUGACGCUGAGGCGCGAAAGCCAGGGGAGCAAACGGG